Volvox carteri f. nagariensis is the source of this 73-nucleotide transfer RNA. It matches the Rfam family "tRNA". From Rfam's summary of the family: Transfer RNA (tRNA) molecules are approximately 80 nucleotides in length. Their secondary structure includes four short double-helical elements and three loops (D, anti-codon, and T loops). Lineage: Eukaryota; Viridiplantae; Chlorophyta; Chlorophyceae; Chlamydomonadales; Volvocaceae. The record is from Rfam.
GGCCGUAUAGCUAAGUGGAUAUAGCGUGCCCUUCCUAAGGGCAAGGUCCAAGAUUCGACCCCUUGUACGGUCG